This 497-nucleotide ribosomal RNA is filed under the name uncultured bacterium. Its description in RNAcentral is "partial 16S ribosomal RNA". It matches the Rfam family "Bacterial small subunit ribosomal RNA", at positions 28 to 507 of the family's 1533-position model. The record is from RNAcentral.
GAUGAACGCUGGCGGCGUGCCUAAUACAUGCAAGUCGAGCGAACAGACGAGGAGUUUGCUCCUCUGACGUUAGCGGCGGACGGGUGAGUAACACGUGGAUAACCUACCUAUAAGACUGGGAUAACUUUGGGAAACAGGAGCUAAUACCGGAUAAUAUAUUGAACCGCAUGGUUCAAUAGGGAAAGACGGUUUUGCUGGCACUUAUAGAUGGAUCCGCGCCGCAUUAGCUAGUUGGUAAGGUAACGGCUUACCAAGGCAACGAUGCGUAGCCGAGGUGAGAGGGUGCUCGGCCACACUGGAACUGAGACACGGUCCAGACUCCUACGGGAGGCCGCAGUAGGGAAUCUUCCGCAAAGGGCGGAAGCCUGACGGAGCAACGCCGCGUGAGUUAUGAAGGUCUUCGGAUCGUAAAGCUCUGUUAUUAGGGAAGAACAAAUGUGUAAGUAACUAUGCACGUCUUGACGGUACCUAAUCAGAAAGCCACGGCUAACUACGUG